Molecule: small nucleolar RNA, 129 nt
Filed under: Paramormyrops kingsleyae
Lineage: Eukaryota; Metazoa; Chordata; Actinopteri; Osteoglossiformes; Mormyridae
Description: Small nucleolar RNA SNORA38 (ENSPKIG00000003661.1)
Source: RNAcentral
UCCUCCUACAAAGGCGUACUUGCAUUGGAUUGCUUGCAAGUGCGUAAGAACUGGAGGCAUACUGAAAUGAAUGAUGAGCUUAUAAAUGCUUUCUGCGCUGGCAGUUAGUGAGUCAACAUUCAUACAUUU